Canis lupus familiaris (dog) is the source of this 98-nucleotide non-coding RNA. The record is from Rfam. Lineage: Eukaryota; Metazoa; Chordata; Mammalia; Carnivora; Canidae.
AGGAACAACUGCAGUGGCGGAGCCAGCUCUCGAGCCCUGGAUUCAGCUACGGCAGGAACUACGGAGCUCUCUGCAGGGCCUGGAGGCUCCGGGGCGGG